RNAcentral lists this ribosomal RNA (525 nucleotides) under uncultured bacterium. Its description in RNAcentral is "bacterial SSU rRNA". It matches the Rfam family "Bacterial small subunit ribosomal RNA", at positions 985 to 1509 of the family's 1533-position model. The record is from RNAcentral.
CAUCCAGAGAAUUUAGCAGAGAUGCUUUAGUGCCUUCGGGAACUCUGAGACAGGUGCUGCAUGGCUGUCGUCAGCUCGUGUUGUGAAAUGUUGGGUUAAGUCCCGNAACGAGCGCAACCCUUAUCCUUUGUUGCCAGCACGUAAUGGUGGGAACUCAAAGGAGACUGCCGGUGAUAAACCGGAGGAAGGUGGGGAUGACGUCAAGUCAUCAUGGCCCUUACGAGUAGGGCUACACACGUGCUACAAUGGCGCAUACAAAGAGAAGCGACCUCGCGAGAGCAAGCGGACCUCAUAAAGUGCGUCGUAGUCCGGAUUGGAGUCUGCAACUCGACUCCAUGAAGUCGGAAUCGCUAGUAAUCGUAAAUCAGAAUGUUACGGUGAAUACGUUCCCGGGCCUUGUACACACCGCCCGUCACACCAUGGGAGUGGGUUGCAAAAGAAGUAGAUAGCUUAACCUUCGGGAGGGCGUUUACCACUUUGUGAUUCAUGACUGGGGUGAAGUCGUAACAAGGUAGGCGUAGUGCU